Molecule: ribosomal RNA, 387 nt
Filed under: uncultured euryarchaeote
Lineage: Archaea; Methanobacteriati; Methanobacteriota
Description: bacterial SSU rRNA
Rfam family: Archaeal small subunit ribosomal RNA
Source: RNAcentral
GCGCGAAAACUUUACAAUGCACGAAAGUGUGAUAAGGGAAUCCAAAGUGCUCAUGCACAGCAUGGGCUUUUGCCAAGGGUAAAUACCUUGGAGAAUAAGUGGUGGGUAAGACUGGUGCCAGCAGCCGCGGUAACCCCAGCGCCACGAGUGGGAGCCACAAUUAUUUGGCCUAAAGCGUCCGUAGCUGGCUUAGUAAAUCUUUUGUGAAAUCGGAAAGCUUAACUUUUCGGCGUGCAGAAGACACUGCUAUGCUUGAGACCGGAAGGGGUAAGGAGUAUUUCUAGGGAACCGGUAAAAUGGGAUAAUCCUAGAAAGACUACCUGUGGCGAAGGCGCCUUACCAGUACGGGUCUGACAGUGAGGGACGAAGGCUAGGGGAGCGAACCGG